GUACACAAAAAUGCACAUACUGUGAGCUCGAUGAGUAGGGCGGGACACGUGGUAUCCUGUCUGAAUAUGGGGGGACCAUCCUCCAAGGCUAAAUACUCCUGACUGACCGAUAGUGAACCAGUACCGUGAGGGAAAGGCGAAAAGAACCCCGGCGAGGGGAGUGAAAAAGAACCUGAAACCGUGUACGUACAAGCAGUGGGAGCCUCUUAAUGGGGUGACUGCGUACCUUUUGUAUAAUGGGUCAGCGACUUAUAUUCUGUAGCAAGGUUAACCGAAUAGGGGAGCCGAAGGGAAACCGAGUCUUAACUGGGCGUUAAGUUGCAGGGUAUAGACCCGAAACCCGGUGAUCUAGCCAUGGGCAGGUUGAAGGUUGGGUAACACUAACUGGAGGACCGAACCGACUAAUGUUGAAAAAUUAGCGGAUGACUUGUGGCUGGGGGUGAAAGGCCAAUCAAACCGGGAGAUAGCUGGUUCUCCCCGAAAGCUAUUUAGGUAGCGCCUCGUGAAUUCAUCUCCGGGGGUAGAGCACUGUUUCGGCAAGGGGGUCAUCCCGACUUACCAACCCGAUGCAAACUGCGAAUACCGGAGAAUGUUAUCACGGGAGACACACGGCGGGUGCUAACGUCCGUCGUGAAGAGGGAAACAACCCAGACCGCCAGCUAAGGUCCCAAAGUCAUG
Molecule: ribosomal RNA, 678 nt
Filed under: Escherichia coli
Lineage: Bacteria; Pseudomonadati; Pseudomonadota; Gammaproteobacteria; Enterobacterales; Enterobacteriaceae
Description: partial 23S ribosomal RNA
Rfam family: Bacterial large subunit ribosomal RNA
Source: RNAcentral